This 1303-nucleotide ribosomal RNA is filed under the name metagenome. RNAcentral describes it as "bacterial SSU rRNA". It matches the Rfam family "Bacterial small subunit ribosomal RNA", at positions 170 to 1497 of the family's 1533-position model. The record is from RNAcentral.
CGCAUAAGCCCACGGGUCGGCAUCGACCAGAGGGAAAAGGAGCAAUCCGCUUUGAGAUGGCCUCGCGUCCGAUUAGCUAGUUGGUGAGGUAACGGCCCACCAAGGCGACGAUCGGUAGCCGGACUGAGAGGUUGAACGGCCACAUUGGGACUGAGACACGGCCCAGACUCCUACGGGAGGCAGCAGUGGGGAAUAUUGCACAAUGGGGGAAACCCUGAUGCAGCGACGCCGCGUGGAGGAAGAAGGUCUUCGGAUUGUAAACUCCUGUUGUUGAGGAAGAUAAUGACGGUACUCAACAAGGAAGUGACGGCUAACUACGUGCCAGCAGCCGCGGUAAAACGUAGGUCACAAGCGUUGUCCGGAAUUACUGGGUGUAAAGGGAGCGCAGGCGGGAAGACAAGUUGGAAGAGAAAUCCAUGGGCUUAACCCAUGAACUGCUUUCAAAACUGUUUUUCUUGAGUAGUGCAGAGGUAGGCGGAAUUCCCGGUGUAGCGGUGGAAUGCGUAGAUAUCGGGAGGAACACCAGUGGCGAAGGCGGCCUACUGGGCACCAACUGACGCUGAGGCUCGAAAGUGUGGGUAGCAAACAGGAUUAGAUACCCUGGUAGUCCACACCGUAAACGAUGAUUACUAGGUGUUGGAGGAUUGACCCCUUCAGUGCCGCAGUUAACACAAUAAGUAAUCCACCUGGGGAGUACGACCGCAAGGUUGAAACUCAAAGGAAUUGACGGGGGCCCGCACAAGCAGUGGAGUAUGUGGUUUAAUUCGACGCAACGCGAAGAACCUUACCAAGUCUUGACAUCCUGUGACAGACGUAGAAAUACGUUCUUCCUUCGGGACACAGGGACAGGUGGUGCAUGGUUGUCGUCAGCUCGUGUCGUGAGAUGUUGGGUUAAGUCCCGCAACGAGCGCAACCCUUAUGGUCAGUUACUACGCAAGAGGACUCUGGCCAGACUGCCGUUGACAAAACGGAGGAAGGUGGGGAUGACGUCAAAUCAUCAUGCCCUUUAUGACUUGGGCUACACACGUACUACAAUGGCGUUAAACAAAGAGAAGCAAGACCGCGAGGUGGAGCAAAACUCAGAAACAACGUCCCAGUUCGGACUGCAGGCUGCAACUCGCCUGCACGAAGUCGGAAUUGCUAGUAAUCGUGGAUCAGCAUGCCACGGUGAAUACGUUCCCGGGCCUUGUACACACCGCCCGUCACACCAUGAGAGCCGGGGGGACCCGAAGUCGGUAGUCUAACCGCAAGGAGGACGCCGCCGAAGGUAAAACUGGUGAUUGGGGUGAAGUCGGAACAAGGU